ACCUGAAAUGUUCAAGUUAGAAAAGAGUAAAGUCCUAGAUCUUCAAUUAUAUGCAUUUAAAACAGUGGUUUCCAAACUAGUGUACAUGUAGAUAUGCAGCUUUUUGCCAAGUGGUACAUGUACAAAUUCUUAAUAAUAGUGGCAGAGCUUUUGACUGUUCAACACACAGCCAAUAAAAACGCAUGCUGCACCUUGACAUCGGUGAAUAUGAAGAGAUGCAAUGAGGACAGGGGGCACAGGCUGCAGUUUUUUGGUUUUUGUUUUGUUUUUUUAAAGGUAAAGGGGUACAGGGACAAAAUCCUUGAAAACCACUGCCUUAAAACUUAACAGAAGGGGCUUAUUAUAAAUGAUACCAGAAAGUUAAAUUCAAUUCACAUUACUUACAAACCUCCAUAACACAGCAGAACAAAGUUCUGAUUGGACAUUACACAGAGUUAUGGCCACUGGAACCUGAAAUCCCAAGUUUCCUAACAUUCAAGGUGUUGUUUAAUACUUCCAAUUUUUUUUUUUUUUUUUUUUUUUUUAAAGUCAUAGAAAAUGAGGGUUGGAAGGGGCCUCAGGAAGUCAUUGAAUCCAACCCCUUGCUCAGAGCAGGACCAUCCAACUAUCAUCUUGGGCAAAGCUUUGUCUAGACCCAGCAGUAAGAAUUCAAAGACCUCUAAAGCUGUAAACAACAAUAUGACUUCCCUGAAAGAACAAUAGUACUUUAUCAAUUGUGUACUCACUUGAACCACCUUAUAGAGGAAUGAAAACACCAGAGAGACACAAGCAUUCUUCUUAGAAGUUGCAACAACUGAAAAAAGUAAGUUUAGGAAUGUUUGUUCAAAGUUCCCAUUUUUUUAAUUUUAUUUUUAAAUCCCUUUUCAAAAACGUUUACUAAGGCACUGUAGCUGACCCAAAAACUCAGGAAACCAUUCAUUAGGUAUGCCAUUUCAUUUCUAAAUGCUGAGCUACUGAAAAGCAAAGACAGGUAAGCAUUGAGAAAAUACUGGUUGCACUGGCACUUAAACAUAUAUAUUUUUGGUUCAUAGGGUAUUUAAUGGGAAUUUGACCUUAACUGUUUUUUAUCUCUGCAAAACCUUCCCCCCCUCUCCCCCGCCAUGCUGACUUCCAUUGUGAAAAUUCACACGGUCAACAUUUCCACCCUAUUAAGUAGCCUAUACUCCAAAGGAUACGAUAUAAAUUGUUAUGUUUAAUCCACAUAAAACGAACUCCUCCAUGAGCUAGAAUGGGGGAAAGUGUUCCUUCUUCUUCCUUUUCCAUAAGGAUCGGCAUAAAAUGCUCAACCUCUGACAUAUCGACAUCUCCACGGUAAUUUCGACAGAUGAGGACCUGCAAUGGAUGAGUACAAUAGAGAACCAAAUGGACAACACACCUGAAGUGGUCAUCUGAAUAACAUACAUGACCUUUGGAAAUGGAGGUCAACUAAUUUGAGUGACUAAAAUUGAUACUUGUAUGGUGGAACCACAAACCACUUGGUUAUUUAAAUUACAAAA
Alligator mississippiensis (American alligator) is the source of this 1496-nucleotide long non-coding RNA. RefSeq lists it as uncharacterized. Lineage: Eukaryota; Metazoa; Chordata; Crocodylia; Alligatoridae. The transcript has 2 exons. The record is from RefSeq and is a predicted model, not a curated record.